CAGACAAAACCAACCUUUUGAAAAAUAUUGUUUAUGAGAAAACAUGAUCGAUUGCUUGGUCGUUUAGUCACUGCGACCAAUCUUCGAUUAUUUCAAUAAAUCGGACCACCACUAGUCUUGACAGGCCUUAAAGAUUUGGUUACAAAUUUAGUGUCUCAAGAAUUGUAUCUACCAUACAUGUGAUUCCAACAAUUUAUAUUUGUGGUUGUCUUCUUAACAACUUUGCUGGGUUUUUUUAUUUGACUCAUUGGGACCUUAGGAAUUUAUUUGUCGUGUCAGGGUGAUGAUAAGUAAUUGUGAUGCUUCUUUGCUAAUUUUACACUUGUUCCUUUUGACGUGACAAAAAUAGGAAUCACAUGUAAAACGCUACCUAAGAUCGAUGUUCUUAACUUAAUGUGCCUUGAAGCGACAGAUCAUUUAGCCCUAAUUUGAUUGGUCAAAAUGUUAAUACCCUAUCCCAUAUAAAGUAUUGGGUGGCAUUGUUCAAAGACAUGAACCUUCUUUAAAUGACUGAGUCAGAAUCAAUCCGGGAUAUGGAGUAAUGCAGUAAUUAUCCUGAACGACUUUGUGUGAUUACUAUGUAACACAAAGGCUUCCUGUACACACUGAGCGUGAUUUCAAAGUAAUACUAAGUAAUACUAAGUAAUACUAACUGUAAUACUGUACUUUCUGUACAGACUUAUGUGACCUGUGUUACAAACAAUGGACACAUGUUUCAGUAAUACAUUUGAGACACAUCAUUCUGUGUUACGAUCAUUUCAUCAUCGAAGCUUUGCGUCUUUAAUGCAUUUAUGGCUUUUGUUUUCAUUGAUUGGUUCAUGGUAUGGUAUGUUUUAUCGGAAAAAGAUUAUAAGUUUUAAGUCUGUCACUUACUUUUUUAAAAAGAGCCACAAAAUAGAUUUCUGGCAUCCACAUUCUAUUUUUUCUGUCAGGUAAUUAUUGAUUUUGGUCUCUUUGAAAAAAUUACCUAGUGGAUUUCUAUAAUAAGGUGAAAAUGUACUUGUCAAAUUUUUUCCCAUCAAUAAUGUGAUUUUCAUGCAAAAUUCUUUUUUUUUUCUAGAUAUAUUUUUUCCAGAUCUGUUUGGUCAUUGGUGAAAAUAGAUAUUUGUGGGGAAAAAAAUUGUCCUCGAUUUCUUAAAAUUUGAAAUUGAGGCAAACACAAAAACUAAAUUUCAAAUUGUAUGUUACAUACAUGUAUAUGUUUUACAUAGUGUUUUACAAGUUAACAAAAUUGGAAAAAAGUAAUGGAAUUAUGGAGUUUUUUUCCAACAUUUGUAAAAUUUUGGUCAGUAGAUUUGUAAUCCACUAACAACAUAAUAUGACAGAAAUAUCUAUUUGUAGGCACAGUUAUCAAUAUACAGAUAGUAAAACAUAAUGGGUCGUAAUAAAGUUAGUAAUUUUACUAAUUGUGGCAUUUAGUUUCAGUAUAGUUCCUAACGCUCUAAUCAUCGAUACUCUUCCUUUGAUUGUGCUGCAUUAUGGGAGUUUUUGUAUUCCUUUACCGAUUGUAUUUUUGAUGUGGUUUUAAGACUGACGAAGACACAAUAUAUUUUGUAAGGAGCUUGCAUUUGCUUAGUUUUAUGUUCUGAAUAAUUCUUUUUACUUUCAUACGGUGCUACACACAUUUGUCUUUCCUGAUGUUUGAUAAUACUGAUGGUCGAUAUCUGCCAUAUUUUCAGAAGUGUUGCUAGGCAACAGAAUUUUCUCGUGUUGAGAAAUUUUGUCAAACAGUGACACUGUGAGUGAUUCCUGAGAUUUCAAUCAGCAUGGUUGUCGGAAAGAUAUAUUCUGGUAUAGCAAAUGUUCGUAUUGUCGAAUGCAACAUGAAAGAACGAACAAACGUCAAAAAACCAAAUUGCUGCAGUAUCUCCAUGACUCGAUAAGAUAUUUUUCUUUCAGGGUCAGUCACUUCACAGUGUCAUCACUUAAUCCUGAAUGGAUAAAGGCAAAAUAUAAAAUCCUGGAAAAAAUUUGAGUGCUGUCCCAGUAAUUACAAUAUCAAUAUCAAUUUUUGUCAAAUGUAUGCACAAGAAAAAAGUUAAGCACCACUACAUUAUUUAUAUAUUCCUGAACUGUGUAUAUUUUGUUAAUAUCUACAGGAAGAAUUAGUCUAAUUUGGUACGUGUCUAAGAUAACACAAAUACUUGUUUAAAUGUCAGAACACCGUUCUGUGUGCCACCAGGUGUCAAAUGUGACUCGAUAUCUUUGCAGUUAUUUUAAAUGCCAGUUGAAAAUGUAGCAAUGGAACAGAUGCUAAAUAUUUCCUUCGACAAUCAAUUUGGGUUUCCUUAUUUCCAUAUGAAGACUAUCCUUUAUGAAAAUAAGUCCCUUUAAAUUGAUGACAAAUUCUUUUUGGAGAUAAAUCUCUUUUGCUAAGUCACAAAUUUUACAAAUGGCCAUUUCAUUGGGAAUUGUGUAAAGUGGUGCUUGUCUUGUUCCUCUGUGUGUGCACUGAUAUAUGUAUAUUGAAUAAAAAUUCCUGAUUUUAUAAGUCCCCCAAUCCUGACAAUGCUGAGUCUCUUUUUUUUCUGAAACUAAUACAUUGACAACAGUUGACAAAUUUUGAAGGCAGCAUUUUUCAGGCAUAGUGCUCUUGACCAUUUACUGACCGCUCAUCUGUUUUGUGACAGAUAUCGACAUCCAGUAACGUAUAUGUGCGACUCAUUUGCGCAUUUUUCUUUGUACAUUUCAUUUUAGACUGUGAAUACGCCCAUUAAACACCCCCAUUAUCUGUCUUGCUAUAAUAUGCUGUACCUAUGCAAUGUUUUGUAUGUUUGUAUAUUUCAUAGACAGCAUCCUUAAAGGAUUUAUUCCAUGCCAAAUAUUUGGCAAGUUUGAUUUCUGAUUAGUCUAGUGGACAAUCACUUGUAUAUUUCAAUAGACAUCUGUAAAAGUAUUGUCAGUAUCUAUCUAUAUAUAUAGUAAUCUGCAAAAACCUGAAAACAGAGGGGCAGUGGGGUAGCCUUGUGGUUAAGGCAUUCGCUUGUCACACCGAAGACCCGGGUUUGAUUCCCCACAUGGGUACAAUGUAUGAAGCCCAUUUCUGGUGUCCCCUGCCGUGAUAUUGCUGGAAUAUUACUAAAAGCAGUGUAAAUCUAAACUCACUCACUGAAAACAGAGACAUAUCUGUAUAUGUUUUCUCUGAAAACAAUGACAACUGUUCUGCCAUAUUUUCUCGGACAGAGCAUGUGAUCCGUUGUAUUUGUUAUUAACAUAACAAGAUUUCUUCUAUUUUCAGAUAAUCAGGUACUUAAAAUCAUUUAAUGUUGAUGCUAUUUGAAUAUGAGGUCUAAAUUGAAAUUCCUAGAUCAGAAAUUGUUAUUGAUGUAUAAUAACAUAGAAAUUGUUAUUGGUGUCUAAUAACAUAGAAAUUACAGUUUUUUCAUUAACAUGGUUCUGUUGUCAGUUGGUUUGGUUUUUUUAUGAUUACAUUUAACUGCUUACAAUUAUAUUAUAGCAUUUAUCAAAAAAGAGAAUUUCAGUUGUUUUUUUUAAAAAUUAAAAAUUCUCAAAACAGGCUGUCUUAGUUGACAUUUCUUUGGAACCAUGUAGCCAAAUCUUAUUGUAAUGGGAUGAUAAAAUUUCUACAAAAAUGUUUUUAUGAACCUGUGUUUUUUCUUCAAGUAUCAAAUUGUUGGUUCAUGACCUCAUACUGCAACGAUCGAAGUGAUUUCAAGUUACGUAUUUAAGAUAUAUAUAUAUAUAUUGAGACUAGUCAACCUAUCAAAUUGUACAGGUAAUAUUCUCACAAACAUACGUCACUUACAAGCGUAUUUAUCAUGUAUACAUAUUAAUGUAAAAUAAUUUUACUAAAAUACAAAUAUUGCAUAUAUUCCUUCUGAUCAGAAAAUGAUCCAAAAUAGAAAAAUAUUUUCAAAUAUUUAAAAUAUCAAAAUUGAAAUAUGGUUGGAAUCCAAACUAUAUUUGAAAUUGUCAGUGCAUAUCAAAGGUAUUUUCUAAAGUUUAUUAUGCACGCAAUGGUUGUGGCCAGUCUGCCUUCUCGUUAAAAUCUGUUGCUCAAUCUACUGUUAUCACAUUUGGAAAUCAAUGUCGAUAUACUGUAUUUAUUUUUUAUACUGUGACUAGUGCUAUGAAAAUGUCAUGCUCGACUUCCUGUACAAUAUUUUGUCAAAAUGAUGUCAAAUGGAUAAAGUAUAAGUAAUAAUACGUUGUAUGUCCUUGCCGUUUUCGUUAUGGCAAAUGAAAUUUGUGGAAGGGAUUAGCAGUCUUUUCAAUUCAGUUAUAUUUAUGAAUAUGAAGCUGAUUUAAUUUAAUCAACGAAGUUUGAAACAUUUUAUAUUAAAAUUGCAAUACAAGCUAUUUUAUUUAAAUAAAAGGGUCUAGUUAUUGAAUAAUCAUUAACUGUUUCUUUGAAUCAUUGGUGCCAUUUGCUUCUGGAACCAGAUUUCAGAACUGGUUUUCAUACAUUUAAGAAAUGUGUAGCUUUUUUGCCAAAAUAUUGAUUUUCAUAUCACCAUAGUCAUCAUGUAACUGCAAUUGUUCAAGCUUGUGAGAUUACAAAAGUUUGUUCUGGACAGCUAAACAUUCUUGUUGCCAUUAUGGCGCCUGUGUAUCAUAUUCAUAUUGUACAUAGUCAUGUGAGGAACUCUGUGACCUCAUCAGUACCUGCCUGUCUGUCACUAAGAAACUGGAAUAAACUAUUUCAUAAUAA
Haliotis rubra (blacklip abalone) is the source of this 4672-nucleotide long non-coding RNA. RefSeq lists it as uncharacterized. NCBI's taxonomy places the organism in Eukaryota, Metazoa, Mollusca, Gastropoda, Lepetellida, Haliotidae. The record is from RefSeq and is a predicted model, not a curated record. The transcript is spliced from 2 exons.